RNAcentral lists this long non-coding RNA (1228 nucleotides) under Equus asinus (donkey). RNAcentral describes it as "lncRNA (ENSEASG00005033107.1)". Lineage: Eukaryota; Metazoa; Chordata; Mammalia; Perissodactyla; Equidae. The record is from RNAcentral.
CUUUCUGCCCCAAGGCAGACCCCAAAGGAGCUGGCAGCUGGGGACCACAUGCUGACCACACUCCUGAAGCUGGGCGGCACGCCCUUUCUUGAAAGGGGAUCUGGGCACCUCACCUCCAUGUCUGCCACACAGAUCUACCAAGGUGAUUCUUCCUGACUUGUGAGUUUAUUAAUAUGCAAAUCUUACAUAGCUAUAAGCAGUAAAUCAUUUAGUUAUACACUGGAUGAAUCCCCUUUAUGGGGAAGAAUAAUUUUACAUUCAAAGAAAUACACAGCUUACUAUGUAUGUAACAAGUCUGUACUUGCUCCAGAAAUUCAACACUAUCUGUGUGCCAAGUGCUUUCCAUACUUAUUCCAGUGCACUCGAUUAAAUUCAUUAUCAGCACACUGUGUGCCAGAUGCUGUUAUUAAUGACAAAAACCUCAGAGAAAAGCCUCUUAACUCAGUUUCAUUAUCUGGAAUUGAUACUUGAUAGAUCCACAAAAUUGAUUUGCUCUGUGUAAAUAAGUGACCCUGUAGAAGUGUUCCAGAAAAUAUGGCUCUGCAGAGCUUUACACUUCUGAGCCCUCGGUUGACAGAAGGCAUGUCUGUAAGAAGCAUUAAAGAAAACAUAAAUUUAGCCCCAAAAGUGAUGGAAAUGCCCGUGUUAAUUAUAAUGUUAAUAGAUACUUAAUAUCUAACAUUUUCCAAAAGUUAUAGUCAAAGGACUUUAGUCCUCAUGUCAAUCAUUUAAUUCACUUGGUAGGGAAUAGACUAUGAGAGUCUCACUUUGUCCUUCAUUAAUUCACAUAGAUACUGGGAUCUAUUUCUAGAUUCUUUCAUCAGUUCCCCUGACCUAGUUGUUUUAUCUUUGCACCAAUAUCAUGUUAACAUAGGCGCCAUGGCAAGUGCUCCCUCACUGCUAUUUUUCACAUUCCUCUUAGCUAUUUGGUCUCAUUCAAAACAAAAAUCGCUUUAUCCAAUUUCCUCUAAAAACCUAGGUAUGAUUCUAAGUAGAAUUGUAUUAAAUUUAUAUGUUAAUUUUAAGAGAAUUGACUUUUCAUCUAAGAACGUUAUAUGUCUUCCUCUGUGUGUAAAUUUCGUUUCUUGCCUAGAUCCUACGCUUCUUAAAUUUGGGCGCUUAAAUUUAUUCUUGAGUAUUCUUGGAGCUACUACUGUGAAUGGAAUAUUCUUCCACUUCCAUUUUUAAGUGUGUAUUUGCAUAGUAACAAAAACUAUUGACUACAUCC